Molecule: transfer-messenger RNA, 191 nt
Filed under: Betaproteobacteria bacterium
Lineage: Bacteria; Pseudomonadati; Pseudomonadota; Betaproteobacteria
Description: partial transfer-messenger RNA
Rfam family: transfer-messenger RNA
About the family: Bacterial tmRNA, also known as 10Sa RNA or SsrA, is named for its dual tRNA and mRNA-like properties.
Source: RNAcentral
GUGCAGCGUCAUUGACAUCAGCCCCUCCGCGCGGUUUGGUCGCUUGGCCGCACGGAUCCGUCGAAGCGACUGGCUGAGCGCCAGCCUGCCGGCCGGCGGGCGCGAGGCGAGACCCAAAUGACCAGGCUAAGCAUGUAGUCCUGACUGUAGAGGACUUGCGGACGCGGGUUCGAUUCCCGCCGCCUCCACCA